UGAGUUGGCCGGUUGGUCGCAACAUGACUUGUUGUGUUGAGGAAGGUCGGGGCUCCUAUGAACAUAGUGCUGACGAGAGUCAGGAUGGAGUGAUCUAUCGAUAAGGGCAGCAGAAAGUAAACCGCCGAUGGCCAUGCAAAUGGCACAGGUAAGGGUGAAACGGUGUGGUAAGAGCACACCAGCAUCUGGAGUGAUCUAGGUGGCUAGGUAACCUCCACUAGGAGCAAGGUCAAGUGUGGAACAUGGGUCGUUCAUCCCAAUCGCCAGAGAUGGUGAUAGUUCCCAGGUGGACCGCAUAGAUGGAUGGCCAUCAAAGGAUUGGUCGGAAACGAUUACCUGAACAGAACCCCGCCUAUAGGCCAACUCACCUA
RNAcentral lists this RNase P RNA (371 nucleotides) under Acidimicrobiales bacterium. RNAcentral's name for it is "RNase P RNA component class A". It matches the Rfam family "Bacterial RNase P class A". Rfam says of the family: Ribonuclease P (RNase P) is a ubiquitous endoribonuclease, found in archaea, bacteria and eukarya as well as chloroplasts and mitochondria. Lineage: Bacteria; Bacillati; Actinomycetota; Acidimicrobiia; Acidimicrobiales. The record is from RNAcentral.